CCUAUGGGUGACAGCAGUGAGGAAUAUUGGUCAAUGGGCGCGAGCCUGAACCAGCCAAGUCGCGUGAGGGAAGACGGCCCUACGGGUUGUAAACCUCUUUUGCCGGGGAGCAACGGGCGCCACGUGUGGCGCCACUGAGAGUACCCGGCGAAAAAGCAUCGGCUAACUCCGUGCCAGCCGCCGCGGUAAUACGUAGGAUGCGAGCGGUAUCCGGAUUUAUUGGGGUUAAAGGGUGCGUAGGCGGGGCGUUAAGUCAGUGGUCAAAUUGAGGGGCUCAACCCCUUCCCGCCAUUGAAACUGGCGCUCUUGAGUGGAAGAGAAGUAUGCGGAAUGCGUGGUGUAGCGGUGAAAUGCAUAGAUAUCACGCAGAACCCCGAUUGCGAAGGCAGCAUGCCGGCUUCCGACUGACGCUGAAGCACGAAAGCGUGGGGAUCGAACAGGAUUAGAUACCCGUGUAGUC
RNAcentral lists this ribosomal RNA (460 nucleotides) under uncultured bacterium. RNAcentral's name for it is "partial 16S ribosomal RNA". It matches the Rfam family "Bacterial small subunit ribosomal RNA", at positions 338 to 795 of the family's 1533-position model. The record is from RNAcentral.